Molecule: non-coding RNA, 344 nt
Organism: Arachis ipaensis
Lineage: Eukaryota; Viridiplantae; Streptophyta; Magnoliopsida; Fabales; Fabaceae
Source: RefSeq, a predicted model, not a curated record
AAAAAAAAUUAACAUGUUACCUGUUUUGGCAGAUCGACUUCAGGCAGCAAGGCGAGGUGCGGCGAGCGAACGCGACGGAAGUGACACACCACCAGUGGGAAGCAGAGUAGAGCAGACGCACGACCAGCGCAGAGCAGUGCAGCGCAGACCAAGGACGACGGACGAUGACGACGAUGGACACUCACGCCGCCAAGGACGACGACGACGCCGCCGCCGCAGCAGAUGGAGGACGACACCAACGAAUGGAUCGGAGGAGAAACGCAAUGACUUCAGAGAACAAGGGUUGACUAGGGUUCUUUGUUUUUGGAUAAAAUGGCAAGGGUGAUUUUGGUAUUUUGAAAAAA